GAAGUCGGAAUUGCUAGUAAUGGCAGGUCAGCAUACUGCCGUGAAUACGUUCCCGGGCCCUUGUACACACCGCCCGUCACACCAUGAGAGUUAGGAAUACCCGAAGCCUGUGAGCUAACUUUUAGAGGCAGCAGUCGAAGGUAGAACUAAUGAUUGGGGUGAAGUCGUAACAAGGUAUC
Molecule: ribosomal RNA, 179 nt
Filed under: uncultured bacterium
Lineage: Bacteria
Description: partial 16S ribosomal RNA
Rfam family: Bacterial small subunit ribosomal RNA
Source: RNAcentral